GCGGGUCGGGCGCAGCAGGCGCUGCACCGUCCCCUGCCCGGACGCCACCGCCGGUUCCAGGUCCGCCGACCCGCAC
RNAcentral lists this transfer RNA (76 nucleotides) under Kitasatospora griseola. RNAcentral's name for it is "tRNA-Ala". Lineage: Bacteria; Bacillati; Actinomycetota; Actinomycetes; Kitasatosporales; Streptomycetaceae. The record is from RNAcentral.